Long non-coding RNA from Sinocyclocheilus grahami, 615 nucleotides. RefSeq lists it as uncharacterized. The record is from RefSeq and is a predicted model, not a curated record. The transcript has 4 exons. NCBI's taxonomy places the organism in Eukaryota, Metazoa, Chordata, Actinopteri, Cypriniformes, Cyprinidae.
UUAAUCUGUCUCGUUCUGUCAAGGGGAAGAGAAAGGAGGUAGCCCAGAAAAGAAGAUGCAGACAGGCCAGCCUGAUGAAGUGGGAAAACAGAUGGAAGAUGCUGAUCAAAGUGUCACAGCAGCCAAUGAGAGCAACCCCACCAGCAGCACUAAAGAUGAUGUGAAAGCCCAGGAUAAGAGCUCACAAGAGCCCGACGCAACUCCACCAGACACCAGACCAAAUUCUGAAGAUGGCCAAGGUGACAAGAAUGCACGGGAAUGAGACGACAAUCAGCCUCAUAGGAACGAGUGCCGGCAAACUGUGUGAAGGCAAACAUCACACCAAUUUUGUCCCACGCCAGGGAGUCGCCCACAAACACUGAGAAAAGUGUUGACCCCCCCCACUUCAUUCACCAUUUUUCCUUCUAUUCAACCUGUAUUUCCUUUCCGCUUCCUCAUAUUGAAAAUAAAUCCGAUAUAUAGCUAUAUUAAAAGGAUCAAAUGAGAGUUUGAACAUAUCCGAGAGAUUGCAGGGAUUGUGGAGCUGGAGGACGGCUGCUAUACCUCACUGACAUGCUGCUUGAUCAAUAGUUUUUUUGUUGUUGUUGUAGUUUUUUUUUUCUCAAUAUGGCAUCC